Molecule: ribosomal RNA, 486 nt
Filed under: uncultured bacterium
Lineage: Bacteria
Description: SSU rRNA
Rfam family: Bacterial small subunit ribosomal RNA
Source: RNAcentral
AGGACGAACGCUGGCGGCGUGCCUAAUACAUGCAAGUCGAACGGAGUCCAUUCGGUGGCAACACCGAGGAAGAUUUAGUGGCGAACGGGUGCGGAACACGUGAGGAACCUGCCCCGAAGACCGGGAUAACAGCGGGAAACCGCUGCUAAUACCGGACACCCCCAUCGGGCCACAUGGCCUGCUGAGGAAAUGGAUUCCGCUUCGGGAGGGCCUCGCGGCCUAUCAGCUUGUUGGUGAGGUGAAGGCUCACCAAGGCGACGACGGGUAGCUGGUCUGAGAGGACGAUCAGCCACACUGGGACUGAGACACGGCCCAGACUCCUACGGGAGGCAGCAGUGGGGAAUCUUGCGCAAUGGGCGAAAGCCUGACGCAGCAACGCCGCGUGAGGGAUGAAGGCCUUCGGGUUGUAAACCUCUUUCAAGCAGGGACGAUAAUGACGGUACCUGCAGAAGAAGCUCCGGCCAACUACGUGCCAGCAGCCGCGGU